GAUGAACGCUGGCGGCGUGCCUAAUACAUGCAAGUCGAGCGAACGGACGAGAAGCUUGCUUCUCUGAUGUUAGCGGCGGACGGGUGAGUAACACGUGGAUAACCUACCUAUAAGACUGGGAUAACUUCGGGAAACCGUAGCUAAUACCGGGUAAUAUUUUGAACCGCAUGGUUCAAAAGUGAAAGACGGUCUUGCUGUCACUUAUAGAUGGAUCCGCGCUGCAUUAGCUAGUUGGUAAGGUAACGGCUUACCAAGGCAACGAUGCAUAGCCGACCUGAGAGGGUGAUCGGCCACACUGGAACUGAGACACGGUCCAGACUCCUACGGGAGGCAGCAGUAGGGAAUCUUCCGCAAUGGGCGAAAGCCUGACGGAGCAACGCCGCGUGAGUGAUGAAGGUCUUCGGAUCGUAAAACUCUGUUAUUAGGGAAGAACAUAUGUGUAAGUAACUGUGCACAUCUUGACGGUACCUAAUCAGAAAGCCACGGCUAACUACGUGC
Molecule: ribosomal RNA, 498 nt
Filed under: uncultured bacterium
Lineage: Bacteria
Description: partial 16S ribosomal RNA
Rfam family: Bacterial small subunit ribosomal RNA
Source: RNAcentral